AGCAUUAGCAGCGAACCCAAAGCCAUUGUACAGGAGAGACGGUCAUUCUUAUAUCGGGACAGCGAGAUCAUAGAAGAAAAUNAAUCCCUCCACUCGNAAAGCAUUCUGCAUCCGAGAGCACAANCGACUUCCCAUGUGCCAAAGUAGCCAAAAAAGCAUACCAGGUACACGANAGNCGCUGUAUGGUUCAUCCAAUGCCACCUUUGAUGGGGAAAAGAUGAAUAGCAUUACGCAACAAAAUUNGAUUCCGCUAAGUGGGUAUGCAACACAGAAACCCAUCCUUGCCCGACAUAGCAACAUGCCUUCGAGACAA
RNAcentral lists this unclassified non-coding RNA (313 nucleotides) under Euphorbia didiereoides. RNAcentral's name for it is "partial external transcribed spacer". The record is from RNAcentral. Lineage: Eukaryota; Viridiplantae; Streptophyta; Magnoliopsida; Malpighiales; Euphorbiaceae.